CCAUCCCACAAUUCACAAUCCUCGUCACUUCUCACCAACCCGAAGCAACCGAAGCUUUACGAGCGAAGCAAAGCGCACCGACACCUAGAAUGGCCAUGGCACCGUCUGCAUCCGCCGUCUCCUUCUCCGCCCGCCCGGCGACCGUCGUCGUCCGGCCGCGCGCCGCCUCCGUCUCGGCCGGGGCCGGCCAGGUCCGCGCCGAGGGAGGCAAGUGGUGGGCGCCGCUGGUCGGGUGGUCCGGCCGGGCCGACUACAUCGAGGCCGCGGUGCCGGCGCCGGCGCCGGUGCUGGUGGAGGAGAAGGCCGGGAGGUCGUUCGUGGGCGGGCUCACGGAGGAGAAGGCGCGGCAGCUGCGGGCGCGCAUGGUGGAGACGGAGAGCUUCCACGACGCCAUGUACCACUCCGCCAUCGCCUCCCGCCUCGCCCGCUCCACCUAAGCCCGGCCGGCCCGGCCGCCCGCCCGCCGCCGUGGAGAACCGAACCAACUCGCCGACACCACCAGAAAAGCUGCCGUGCCCGCGCGCGCGUGUACAUAGUUGUUUCCCUGUUUCUCGUC
RNAcentral lists this long non-coding RNA (556 nucleotides) under Brachypodium distachyon (stiff brome). Its description in RNAcentral is "long non-coding RNA (BDIS_LNC002298)". Lineage: Eukaryota; Viridiplantae; Streptophyta; Magnoliopsida; Poales; Poaceae. The record is from RNAcentral.